RNAcentral lists this ribosomal RNA (253 nucleotides) under uncultured bacterium. RNAcentral describes it as "partial 16S ribosomal RNA". It matches the Rfam family "Bacterial small subunit ribosomal RNA", at positions 524 to 776 of the family's 1533-position model. The record is from RNAcentral.
UACGUAGGGUGCAAGCGUUAAUCGGAAUUACUGGGCGUAAAGCGUGCGCAGGCGGUUUUGUAAGUCUGUCGUGAAAUCCCCGGGCUCAACCUGGGAAUUGCGAUGGAGACUGCAAGGCUAGAAUCUGGCAGAGGGGGGUAGAAUUCCACGUGUAGCAGUGAAAUGCGUAGAGAUGUGGAGGAACACCGAUGGCGAAGGCAGCCCCCUGGGUCAAGAUUGACGCUCAUGCACGAAAGCGUGGGGAGUAAACAGG